Molecule: ribosomal RNA, 519 nt
Filed under: uncultured eukaryote
Lineage: Eukaryota
Description: partial 18S ribosomal RNA
Rfam family: Bacterial small subunit ribosomal RNA
Source: RNAcentral
GGGGGUACCGCCGCGAGUGGAGCCUGCAGUUAAUUUUGAGGGGCCCGGGGAAACUCACCCGGCCCGGAUUAAUUAAGGAUUGACCGAUUGACAUUUCUUUCUUGAUUCAUCGGGUGGAGGUGCCUGACAUGGAUUGGUGCCUGCAGUAACUGUGCUAGUUGAGCCCCAUGGCUGACGACACCCCGUGUUACGAAAUGUACGGUUAAAUUCCACCUGUAGAGCAACUUCUAUCUUUUGUUGGCGGCGUUUCAGCCGGGAACUCAAGAGAAACUGCCAGUGAGUGAUGCCAUGAAAGGGGGGGGGACGUCCAGUCAUCAUGGCCCUUAGAUCCAGGUGUAUGUGCUGCUACAAUGGCGCAUACGGGAGAAGCGACCUCCUUUUUCAAGCUUGCCAUUGGAAAUGCGUCGUAUUCCGGAUUGGAGUCUAAUUCUCGACUCCAUGAAGUCAUCAAUCUUGUGUUAAUUAGGAUCCUACCGCUUGUGUGAAUACCCUCUCGGGCCUUGUACACGCCGCCCGUCA